RNAcentral lists this ribosomal RNA (470 nucleotides) under uncultured bacterium. RNAcentral's name for it is "SSU rRNA". It matches the Rfam family "Bacterial small subunit ribosomal RNA", at positions 26 to 518 of the family's 1533-position model. The record is from RNAcentral.
AGAACGAACGCUGGCGGCAUGCCUAACACAUGCAAGUCGAACGCUCCUGGGGCUUCGGUCUCAGGGGAGUGGCGCACGGGUGAGUAGCGCGUGGGAACCUGCCCUGUUGUGGGGGAUAACCGAGGGAAACUUCGGCUAAUACCGCAUAAGCCGGUUGUCUUGAAAGAGAUGGCCGGGAAAGAUUUAUCGCGACAGGAGGGGCCCGCGUCGGAUUAGCUAGUUGGUGGGUAACGCCCACCAAGGCAGUGAUCCGUAGCUGGUCUGAGAGGAUGAUCAGCCACACUGGGACUGAGACACGGCCCAGACUCCUACGGGAGGCAGCAGUGGGGAAUAUUGGACAAUGGGCGCAAGCCUGAUCCAGCAAUGCCGCGUGAGUGAUGAAGGCCUUAGGGUUGUAAAGCUCUUUCGCCCGCGACGAUGAUGACGGUAGCGGGAGAAGAAGCCCCGGCUAACUUCGUGCCAGCAGCCGC